GGAUUAGAUACCCUGGUAGUCCACGCUGUAAACGAUGAGUACUAGCCGUUGGCAUUUUCUUUUAGGAGAUGUAAGUGGCGCAGCAAACGCAAUAAGUACUCCGCCUGGGGACUACGGCCGCAAGGCUAAAACUCAAAGGAAUUGACGGGGGCCCGCACAAGCGGUGGAGCAUGUGGUUUAAUUCGAUGCAACGCGAAGAACCUUACCUACCCUUGACAUACCAGGAAGGAGCUAGAGAUAGCUCUGUGCCUUCGGGAAUCUGGAUACAGGUGCUGCAUGGCUGUCGUCAGCUCGUGCUG
Molecule: ribosomal RNA, 299 nt
Filed under: uncultured bacterium
Lineage: Bacteria
Description: partial 16S ribosomal RNA
Rfam family: Bacterial small subunit ribosomal RNA
Source: RNAcentral